RNAcentral lists this ribosomal RNA (465 nucleotides) under uncultured bacterium. RNAcentral's name for it is "bacterial SSU rRNA". It matches the Rfam family "Bacterial small subunit ribosomal RNA", at positions 338 to 795 of the family's 1533-position model. The record is from RNAcentral.
CCUACGGGUCGCACCAGUGGGGAAUAUUACACAAUGGGCGCAAGCCUGAUGCAGCCAUGCCGCGUGUAUGAAGAAGGCCUUCGGGUUGUAAAGUACUUUCAGCGGGGAGGAAGGCGAUAAGGUUAAUAACCUUGUCGAUUGACGUUACCCGCAUAAGAAGCACCGGCUAACUCCGUGCUAGCAGCCGCGGUAAUACGGAGGGUGCAAGCGUUAAUCGGAAUUACUGGGCGUAAAGCGCACGCAGGCGGUCUGUCAAGUCGGAUGUGAAAUCCCCGGGCUCAACCUGGGAACUGCAUUCGAAACUGGCAGGCUAGAGUCUUGUAGAGGGGGGUAGAAUUCCAGGCGUAGCGGUGAAAUGCGUAGAGAUCUGGAGGAAUACCGGUGGCGAAGGCGGCCCCCUGGACAAAGACUGACGCUCAGGUGCGAAAGCGUGGGGAGCAAACAGGAUUAGAUACCCCAGUAGUC